RNAcentral lists this ribosomal RNA (253 nucleotides) under uncultured bacterium. Its description in RNAcentral is "partial 16S ribosomal RNA". It matches the Rfam family "Bacterial small subunit ribosomal RNA", at positions 524 to 776 of the family's 1533-position model. The record is from RNAcentral.
UACGUAGGGGGCAAGCGUUGUCCGGAUUUAUUGGGCGUAAAGAGCGUGUAGGCGGUUAGGUAGGUCCGUUGUGAAAACUCGAGGCUCAACCUCGAGACGCCGAUGGAAACCAUCUGACUAGAGUCCGGAAGAGGAGAAUGGAAUUCCUGGUGUAGCGGUGAAAUGCGCAGAUAUCAGGAGGAACACCGAUGGCGAAGGCGGAUCUCUGGGCCAUUACUGACGCUGAGGAGCGAAAGCGUGGGGAGCGAACAGG